RNAcentral lists this ribosomal RNA (484 nucleotides) under uncultured bacterium. Its description in RNAcentral is "partial 16S ribosomal RNA". It matches the Rfam family "Bacterial small subunit ribosomal RNA", at positions 30 to 507 of the family's 1533-position model. The record is from RNAcentral.
AUUGAACGCUGGCGGCAGGCCUAACACAUGCAAGUCGAGCGGAUGAAGGGAGCUUGCUCCCGGAUUCAGCGGCGGACGGGUGAGUAAUGCCUAGGAAUCUGCCUGGUAGUGGGGGAUAACGUCCGGAAACGGGCGCUAAUACCGCAUACGUCCUGAGGGAGAAAGUGGGGGAUCUUCGGACCUCACGCUAUCAGAUGAGCCUAGGUCGGAUUAGCUAGUUGGUGGGGUAAAGGCCUACCAAGGCGACGAUCCGUAACUGGUCUGAGAGGAUGAUCAGUCGCACUGGAACUGAGACACGGUCCAGACUCCUACGGGAGGCAGCAGUGGGGAAUAUUGGACAAUGGGCGAAAGCCUGAUCCAGCCAUGCCGCGUGUGUGAAGAAGGUCUUCGGAUUGUAAAGCACUUUAAGUUGGGAGGAAGGGCAGUAAGUUAAUACCUUGCUGUUUUGACGUUACCAACAGAAUAAGCACCGGCUAACUUCGUG